This 7668-nucleotide long non-coding RNA is filed under the name Salmo salar (Atlantic salmon). RNAcentral's name for it is "lncRNA (ENSSSAG00000086105.1)". The record is from RNAcentral. Lineage: Eukaryota; Metazoa; Chordata; Actinopteri; Salmoniformes; Salmonidae.
GCCAGGCAGAAUAACUGUGGCUGGUGGGGGCAUCAUCUUGUGGGCUUCUGUGUGACCGGCUCCCUGCGGGGGCCGAUAGCUCUGGAGCUGCACCCAGUGUCAGAAAAGAAGAGAGGAGGUAGAGGUAGAGCAGUUAGAGGAGAGGAGUUAGAGGAGAUAGAGGAGAGAAGUUAGAGUAGAGGAGUUAGAGUAGAGGAGUUAGAGUAGAGGAGUUAGAGGAGAGGAGUUAGAGGAGAGGAGAUAGAGGAGAGGAGUUAGAGUAGAGGAGUUAGAGUAGAGGAGUUAGAGUAGAGGAGUUAGAGGAGAGGAGAUAGAGGAGAGGAGUUAGAGGAGAUAGAGGAGAGGAGUUAGAGGAGAGGAGUUAGAUGAGUUAGAGGAGAGGAGUUAGAGGAGAUGGAGGUGUUAGAGGAGAGGAGUUAGAGGAGAAGAGUUAGAGGAGUUAGAGGAGAGGAGUUAGAGGAGAAGAGUUAGAGGAGUUAGAGGAGAGGAGAUAGAGGAGAGGAGUUAGAGAGUUAGAGGAGAGGAGUUAGCGGAGAGGAGUUAGAGGAGAAGUGUUAGAGGAAUUAGAGGAGAGGAGUUAGAGGAGAGGAGUUAGAGAAGUUAGAGGAGAGGCGUUAGAGGAGAGGAGUUAGAGGAGAGGAGUUAGAGGAGAGGAGUUAGAUGAGUUAGAGGAGUUAGAGGAGAGGAGUUAGAGGAGAGGAGUUAGGUGAGUUAGAGGAGAGGAGUUAGAGGAGAGGAGUUAGGUGAGUUAGAGGAGUUAAAUUAGUUAGAGGAGUUAGAGGAGAGGAGUUAGAGGAGUUAGAGGAGAGGAGUUAGAUGAGUUAGAGGAGAGGAGUUAGAGGUGUUAGAGGAGAGGAGUUAGAUGAGUUAGAGGAGAGGAGUUAGAGGAGAAGAGUUAGAUGAGUUAGAGGUGUUAGAGGAGAGGAGUUAGAUGAGUUAGAAAAGUUAGAGGAGAGGAGUUAGAGGAGAGGAGUUAGAAGAGUUAGAGGUGUUAGAGGAGAGGAGUUAGAUGAGUUAGAGGAGUUAGAGGAGUUAGAGGUGUUAGAGGGGAGGAGUUAGAUGAGUUAGAAAAGUUAGAGGAGAGGAGUUAGAGGAGAGGAGUUAGAGGAUUCAGAGGAGUUAGAGGAGAGGAGUUAGAGGAGAGGAGUUGGAGGAGAGGAGUUAGAAGAGUUAGAGGAGUUAGAGGAGAGGAGAUAGAGGAGAGGAGUUAGAGAGUUAGAGGAGAGGAGUUAGAGUAGAGGAGUUAGAGAAGUUAGAGGAGAGAAGUUAGAGGAGAGGUGUUAGAGGAGUUAGAGGAGAGGAGUUAGAUGAGUUAGAGGAGAGGAGUUAGAGGAGAGGAGUUAGAGGAGAGGAGUUAGAUGAGUUAGAGGAGUUAGAGGAGAGGAGAUAGAGGAGAGGAGUUAGAGAGUUAGAGGAGAGGAGUUAGAGUAGAGGAGUUAGAGAAGUUAGAGGAGAGAAGUUAGAGGAGAUGUGUUAGAGGAGUUAGAGGAGAGGAGUUAGAUGAGUUAGAGGAGAGGAGUUAGAGGAGAGGAGUUAGAGGAGUAAGAGGUGUUAGAUGAGUUAGAGGAGAGGAGUUAGAGGAGAGGAGUUAGAGGAGAGGAGUUAGAUGAGUUAGAGGUGUUAGUUGAGUUAGAGGAGAGGAGUUAGAGGAGAGGAGUUAGAGGAGAGAAGUUAGACGAGUUAGAGGAGUUAAAUGAGUUAGAGGUGUUAGAGGAGAGGAGUUAGACGAGUUAGAGGAGUUAAAUGAGUUAGAUGAGUUAGAGGAGAGGAGUUAGAGGAGUUAGAUGAAUUAGAGGAGUUAGAGGAGAGGAGUUAGAGGAGAGGAGUUAGAUGAGUUAGAGGAGAGGAGUUAGAGGAGAAGAGUUAGAUGAGUUAGAGGAGAGGAGUUAGAUGAGUUAGAGGUGUUAGAGGAGAGGAGUUAGAGAGUUAGAGGAGAGGAGUUAGAGAGUUAGAGGAGAGGAGUUAGAGGUGUUAGAGGAGAGGAGUUAGAGGAGAGGAGUUAGAGGAGAGGUGUUAGAGGAGUUAGAGGAGAGGAGUUAGAGGAGAGGAGUUAGAGGAGAGGAGUUAGAGGAGUUAGAUGAGUUAGAGGAGAGGAGUUAGAUGAGUUAGAGGAGAGGAGUUAGAGGAGAGGAGUUAGAGGAGAGUUAGAGGAGAGGAGUUAGAGGAGUAAGAGGAGAGGAUUUAGAGGAGAGGAGUUAGAUGAGUUAGAGGAGAGGAGUUAGAGGAGAGGAGUUAGAGGAGAGGAGUUACAUGAGUUAGAGGAGAGGAGUUAGAGUAGUUACAGGAGAGGAGUUAGAGGAGAGGAGUUAGAGGAGUUAGAGGAGAGGAGUUAGAUGAGAGGAGUUAGAUGAGUUAGAGGAGAGGAGUUAGAUGAGUUAGAGGAGAGGUGUUAGAGGAGUUAGAGGAGAGGAGUUAGAGGAGAGGAGAUAGAGGAGAGGAGUUAGAUGAGUUAGAGGAGAGGAGUUAGAGGAGUUAGAGGAGAGGCGUUAGAGGAAAGGAGUUAGAGGAGAGGAGUUAGAUGAGUUAGAGGAGAGGAGUUAGAGGAGAAGAGUUAGAUUAGUUAGAAAAGUUAGAGGAGAGGAGAUAGAGGAGAGGAGUUGGAGAGGAGUUAGAGGAGAGGAGUUAGAGGAGAGGAGUUAGAGGAGAGGAGUUAGAUGAGUUAGAAAAGUUAGAGGAGAGGGGAUAGAGGAGAGGAGUUAGAUGAGUUAGAAAAGUUAGAGGAGUUAGAGGAGUUAGAUGAGUUAGAGGAGUUAAAGGAGAGGAGAUAAAGGAGAUAAAGGAGAGGAGUUAGAGAGUUAGAGGAGUUAGAGGAGAGGAGUUAGAGAGUUAGAGGAGAGGAGUUAGAGGAGAGGAGUUAGAGGAGAGGAGUUAGAGGAGUUGGAGAGGAGUUAGACGAGAGGAGUUAGAUGAGUUAGAGGAGUUAAAGGAGAGGAGAUAGAGGAGAUAGAGGAGAGGAGUUAGAGAGUUAGAGGAGAGGAGUUAGAGGUGUUAGAGGAGAGGAGUUAGAGGAGAGGAGUUAGAGGAGUUAGAGGAGAGGAGUUAGAGGAGUUAGAGAAGUUAGAGGAGAGGAGUUAGAGGAGAGGAGUUAGAGGAGUAAGAGGAGAGGAGUUAGAGGAGAGGAGUUAGAGGAGAGGAGUUAGAUGAGUUAGAGGAGAGGAGUUAGAUUACUUAGAGGAGAGGAGUUAGAGGAGAGGAGUUAGAUGAGUUAGAGGAGAGGAGUUAGAUUAGAGGAGUUAGAGGAGAGGAGUUAGAGGAGAGGAGAUAGAGGAGAUAGAGGAGUUAGAGGAGUUAGAGGAGAGGGGUUAGAGGAGUUAGAGGAGAGGAGUUAGAUGAGUUAGAGGAGAGGAGUUAGAUGAGUUAGAGGAGAGGAGUUAGAGGAGAGGAGUUAGAGGAGAGGAGUUAGAGGAGAGGAGUUAGAUGAGUUAGAGGAGAGGAGUUAGAGGAGAGGAGUUAGAUGAGUUAGAGGAGAGGAGUUAGAGAGUUAGAGGAGAGGAGUUAGAGGAGUUAGAGGAGAGGAGUUAGAGGAGAGGAGUUAGAGGAGUUGGAGAGGAGUUAGACGAGAGGAGUUAGAUGAGUUAGAGGAGUUAAAGGAGAGGAGAUAGAGGAGAUAGAGGAGAGGAGUUAGAGAGUUAGAGGAGAGGAGUUAGAGGUGUUAGAGGAGUUAGAGGAGAGGAGUUAGAGGAGUUAGAGGAGAGGUGUUAGAGGAGAGGAGUUAGAGGAGUUAGAGAAGUUAGAGGAGAGGAGUUAGAGGAGUAAGAGGAGAGGAGUUAGAGGAGAGGAGUUAGAGGAGAGGAGUUAGAUGAGUUAGAGGAGAGGAGUUAGAGGAGUUAGAGAGUUAGAGGAGAGGAGUUAGAGGAGUUAGAGGAGAGGAGUUAGAGGAGAGGAGUUAGAUUAGUUAGAGGAGAGGAGUUAGAGGAGAGGAGUUAGAUGAGUUAGAGGAGAGGAGUUAGAUUAGAGGAGUUAGAGGAGAGGAGUUAGAGGAGAGGAGAUAGAGGAGUUAGAGGAGAGGAGUUAGAUGAGUUAGAGGAGAGGAGUUAGAGGAGAGGAGUUAGAGGAGAGGAGUUAGAGGAGAGGAGUUAGAUUAGUUAGAGGAGAGGAGUUAGAGGAGAGGAGUUAGAUGAGUUAGAGGAGAGGAGUUAGAGGAGUUAGAGAGUUAGAGGAGAGGAGUUAGAGGAGUUAGAGGAGAGGAGUUAGAGGAGAGGAGUUAGAGGAGAGGAGUUAGAGGAGUUGGAGAGGAGUUAGACGAGAGGAGUUAGAUGAGUUAGAGGAGUUAAAGGAGAGGAGAUAGAGGAGAGGAGUUAGAGAGUUAGAGGAGAGGAGUUAGAAGUGUUAGAGGAGAGGAGUUAGAGGAGUUAGAGGAGAGGCGUUAGAGGAGAGGAGUUAGAGGAGUUAGAGAAGUUAGAGGAGAGGAGUUAGAGGAGAGGAGUUAGAGGAGUAAGAGGAGAGGAGUUAGAGGAGAGGAGUUAGAGGAGAGGAGUUAGAUGAGUUAGAGGAGAGGAGUUAGAUGAGUUAGAGGAGAGGAGUUAGAGGAGAGGAGUUAGAUGAGUUAGAGGAGAGGAGUUAGAUUAGAGGAGUUAGAGGAGAGGAGUUAGAGGAGAGGAGUUAGAGGAGUUAGAGGAGAGGAGUUAGAGGAGAGGAGUUAGAUGAGUUAGAGGAGAGGAGUUAGAGGAGAGGAGUUAGAUGAGUUAGAGGAGAGGAGUUCGAUGAGUUAGAGGAGAGGAGUUAGAUGAGUUAGAGGAGAGGAGUUAGAUGAGUUAGAGGAGAGGAGUUAGAGGAGUUAGAGGAGAGGAGUUGGAGGAGAGCUGUUAGAGGAGUUAGAGGAGUUAGAGAAGUUAGAGGAGAGGCGUUAGAGGAGAGGAGUAAGAGGAGAGGAGUUAGAGGAGAGUUAGAUGAGUUAGAGGAGAGGAGUUAGAGGAGAGUUAGAUGAGUUAGAGGAGAGGAGUUAGAGGAGAGGAGUUAAAGUAGUUAGAGGAGAGGAGUUAGAGGAGUUAGAGGAGAGGAGUUAGAGGAGAGGAGUUAGAUGAGUUAGAGGAGUGGUGUUAGAGGAGUUAGAGGAGAGGAGUUAGAGGAGAGGAGUUAGAGGAGAGGAGUUAGAUGAGUUAGAGGAGAGGAGUUAGAGGAGUUAGAGGAGAAGAGUUAGAGGAAAGGAGUUAGAGGAGUUGAGGUGUUAGAGGAGAGGAGUUAGAGGAGAGGAGUUAGAUGAGUUAGAGGAGAGGAGUUAGAGGAGAGUUAGAUGAGUUAGAGGAGAGGAGUUAGAUGAGUUGAGGUGUUAGAGGAGAGGAGUUAGAGGAGAGGAGUUAGAUGAGUUAGAGGAGAGGAGUUAGAGGAGAGGAGUUAGAGGAGAGGAGUUAGAGGAGAGUUAGAUGAGUUAGAGGAGAGGAGUUAGAGGAGAGGAGUUAAAGUAGUUAGAGGAGAGGAGUUAGAGGAGAGGAGUUAGAGGAGAGGAGUUAGAGGAGAGGAGUUAGAGGAGAGUUAGAUGAGUUAGAGGAGAGGAGUUAGAGGAGAGGAGUUAAAGUAGUUAGAGGAGAGGAGUUAGAGGAGUUAGAGGAGAGGAGUUAGAGGAGAGGAGUUAGAUGAGUUAGAGGAGAGAAGUUAGAUGAGUUAGAGGAGAGGAGUUCGAUGAGUUAGAGGAGAGGAGUUAGAUGAGUUAGAGGAGAGGUGUUAGAGGAGUUAGAGGAGAGGAGUUAGAGGAGAGGAGUUAGAUGAGUUAGAGGAGAGGAGUUAGAGGAGUUAGAGGAGAGGAGUUAGAGGAAAGGAGUUAGAGGAGAGGAGUUAGAUGAGUUAGAGGAGAGGAGUUAGAGGAGAAGAGUUAGAUGAGUUAGAGGAGAGGAGUUAGAUGAGAGGAGUUAGAUGAGUUAGAAAAGUUAGAGGAGAGGAGAUAGAGGAGAGGAGUUGGAGAGGAGUUAGAGGAGAGGAGUUAGAUGAGUUAGAGGAGUUAAAGGAGAGGAGAUAGAGGAGAGGAGUUAGAGAGUUAGAGGAGAGGAGUUAGAGAGUUAGAGGAGAGGAGUUAGAGGAGUUGGAGAGGAGUUAGACGAGAGGAGUUAGAUGAGUUAGAGGAGUUAAAGGAGAGGAGUUAGAGAGUUAGAGGAGAGGUGUUAGAGGAGUUAGAGGAGAGGAGUUAGAGGAGUUAGAGAAGUUAGAGGAGAGGAGUUAGAGGAGUUAGAGGAGUUAGAGGAGAGGAGUUAGAGGAGUUAGAGGAGAGGAGUUAGAUUAGAGGAGUUAGAGGAGAGGAGUUAGAGGAGAGGAGUUAGAGGAGUUAGAGGAGAGGAGUUAGAUGAGUUAGAGGAGAGGAGUUAGAGGAGAAGAGUUAGAGGAGAGGAGUUAGAGGAGAGGAGUUAGAUGAGUUAGAGGAGAGGAGUUAGAUUAGAGGAGUUAGAGGAGAGGAGUUAGAGGAGUUAGAGGAGUUAGAGGAGAGGAGUUAGAUGAGUUAGAGGAGAGGAGUUAGAGGAGAAGAGUUAGAGGAGAGGAGUUAGAGGAGAGGAGUUAGAUGAGUUAGAGGAGAGGAGUUAGAGGAGAAGAGUUAGAGGAGAAGAGUUAGAGGAGAGGAGUUAGAGGAGAGGAGUUAGAGGAGAAGAGUUAGAGGAGUUAGAGGAGAGGAGUUAGCGGAGAGGAAUUAGAUGAGUUAGAGGAGAGGAGUUAGAGGAGUUAGAGGAGAGGAGUUAGAGGUGUUAGAGGAGUUAGAGGAGAGGAGUUAGAGGAGUAAGGGGAGUUAGAGGAGUAAGAGGAGUUAGAGGAGUUAGAGGAGAGGAGUUAGAGGAGAAGAGUUAGAGGAGAGGAGUUAGAGGAGAGGAGUUAGAGGAGUUAUAGGAGAGGAGUUAGAGGAGAAGAGUUAGAGGAGAGGAGUUAGAGGAGAGGAGUUAGAUGAGUUAGAGGAGAAGAGUUAGAGGAGUUAGAGGAGAGGAGUUAGAGGAGAGGAGUUAGAUGAGUUAGAGGAGAAGAGUUAGAGGAGUUAGAGGAGAGGAGUUAGAGGAGUUAGAGGAGAGGAGUUAGAGGAGAAGAGUUAGAGGAGAGGAGUUAGAGGAGAGGAGUUAGAGGAGUUAGAGGAGAGGAGUUAGAGGAGUUAGAGGAGAAGAGUUAGAGGAGAGGAGUUAGAGGAGUUAGAGGAGAGGAGUUAGAGGAGAGGAGUUAGAUGAGUUAGAGGAGAGGAGUUAGAGGAGAGGAGUUAGAGGAGAAGAGUUAGAGGAGAGGAGUUAGAGGAGAGGAGUUAGAGGAGAGGAGUUAGAGGAGAAGAGUUAGAGGAGAAGAGUUAGAGGAGAGGAGUUAGAGGAGAGGAGUUAGAGGAGAGGAGUUAGAGGAGUUAGAGGAGAGGAGUUAGAGGAGUUAUAGGAGAGGAGUUAGAGGAGAGGAGUUAGAGGAGAGGAGUUAGAGGAGUUAGAGGAGAGGAGUUAGAGGAGAAGAGUUAGAGGAGAGGAGUUAGAGGAGAAGAGUUAGAGGAGUUAGAGGAGAGGAGUUAGAGGAGAGGAGUUAGAGGAGUUAGAGGAGAUGAGUUAGAGGAGAGGAGUUAGAGGAGUUAGAGGAGAGGAGUUAGCGGAGAGGAGAGGCACCACCGUGUGAGAAGUAGUGUGCCUCCUUCGUGGUGGCUGAUGACGGAGCAGCACAGAUGGGCUUGGGGUUGGGGCUCGUUCCCCAGCAUGCUCCUUUGUAUGGAGCCCUGCUCACUAAUUACAG